AUUGAAUUUUGGUUUGCGAAGACGGCCGGCGGGUAGGUGUCGGGAUCGUUGGGAUCGAAAGUGACGCCGGCGGCUUGGAGUUCACGGGCGUUUUCGAAAAAGAUGGUGUACGGCACGUCAUCGGAAUCCCAAUUACCGAAUUUCGGAACUUGGGUUUUGUUUUGGUUUUUAUGUUGCUGGAAAAAGAAGAGAAACAAAUAAGAACAAGAAAACACUCACUGCCAUGAGCUGUGGCAGCUCCUUGGUUGCUGCGGCGGCAACGGCAAUGACGGGAACGGCGGAGUAUGGAAGAAUUUGUAUUGUUAGAGAAGAAAAGAAGAUGGAGGAGUAAGGAGGUAUUGGAAGUUUUUUGUUUCUUAUCAGACAAUUAUAGUUCGAUGGUUUCUAAGUUAGCUGUCGAUGUGUUUAUUGUGUUUUGGCUUUUGCUUUGUUUCUCUUGUGGGUAAUCUUCUGUUUGUUUGCUAUAAGUUUCUUUCGAAGAGAUUAUUAUUUGAGUCGUCUAAUCGUAUAGCCUUAGCUUCAAGAUGUAAAGAAAUAUGAUAUACGAAUAUAAUUCAAAUGCCUGUUAUUAACUAGGAUUUGAGAUA
Cucumis melo (muskmelon) is the source of this 587-nucleotide long non-coding RNA. RefSeq lists it as uncharacterized. Lineage: Eukaryota; Viridiplantae; Streptophyta; Magnoliopsida; Cucurbitales; Cucurbitaceae. The transcript is spliced from 2 exons. The record is from RefSeq and is a predicted model, not a curated record.